CAGUAGCCACGGUAAUACAGAGGGUGCGAGCGUUAAUCGGAUUUACUGGGCGUAAAGCGUGCGUAGGCGGCUUCUUAAGUCGGAUGUGAAAUCCCUGAGCUUAACUUAGGAAUUGCAUUCGAUACUGGGAAGCUAGAGUAUGGGAGAGGAUGGUAGAAUUCCAGGUGUAGCGGUGAAAUGCGUAGAGAUCUGGAGGAAUACCGAUGGCGAAGGCAGCCAUCUGGCCUAAUACUGACGCUGAGGUACGAAAGCAUGGGGAGCAAACAGGAUUAGAGACCCAUGUAGUCCCUGUCUCUUAUAA
RNAcentral lists this ribosomal RNA (301 nucleotides) under uncultured bacterium. RNAcentral describes it as "partial 16S ribosomal RNA". It matches the Rfam family "Bacterial small subunit ribosomal RNA", at positions 509 to 809 of the family's 1533-position model. The record is from RNAcentral.